This 502-nucleotide ribosomal RNA is filed under the name uncultured bacterium. Its description in RNAcentral is "bacterial SSU rRNA". It matches the Rfam family "Bacterial small subunit ribosomal RNA", at positions 9 to 502 of the family's 1533-position model. The record is from RNAcentral.
GAGUUUGAUCCUGGCUCAGGAUGAACGCUAGCGACAGGCCUAACACAUGCAAGUCGAGGGGUAACAGAUGAAGAGCUUGCUCUGAUUGCUGACGACCGGCGCACGGGUGAGUAACAAGUAUGCAACCUACCUUUUACAGGGGGAUAGCCCAGAGAAAUUUGGAUUAAUACCUCAUAAUAUUUUUAACUCGCAUGAGUUUUAAAUUAAAACUUCGGUGGUAAAAGAUGGGCAUGCUUUCUAUUAGUUUGUUGGUGAGGUAACGGCUCACCAAGACUAUGAUAGAUAGGGGGUCUGAGAGGAUAGUCCCCCACACUGGUACUGAGACACGGACCAGACUCCUACGGGAGGCAGCAGUGAGGAAUAUUGGUCAAUGGUCGAAAGACUGAACCAGCCAUGUCGCGUGAAGGAUGACGGCCCUAUGGGUUGUAAACUUCUUUUGUAUGGGAAGAAAAGCAGUUACGUGUAACUGUCUGCCGGUACCAUACGAAUAAGAUCGCUAACU